This 253-nucleotide ribosomal RNA is filed under the name uncultured bacterium. RNAcentral's name for it is "partial 16S ribosomal RNA". It matches the Rfam family "Bacterial small subunit ribosomal RNA", at positions 524 to 776 of the family's 1533-position model. The record is from RNAcentral.
UACGGGGGGAGCAAGCGUUGUUCGGAUUUACUGGGCGUAAAGGGCGCGUAGGCGGCCAACUAAGUCGGAUGUGAAAUCCCCAGGCUUAACCUGGGAACUGCAUCCGAUACUGGAUGGCUUGAAUCCGGGAGAGGGAUGCAGAAUUCCAGGUGUAGCGGUGAAAUGCGUAGAUAUCUGGAGGGAUACCGGUGGCGGAGGCGGCAUCCUGGACCGGCAUUGACGCUGAGGAGCGAAAGCUAGGGGAGCAAACGGG